Mus musculus (house mouse) is the source of this 1095-nucleotide long non-coding RNA. RefSeq annotates it as predicted gene, 39394. Lineage: Eukaryota; Metazoa; Chordata; Mammalia; Rodentia; Muridae. The record is from RefSeq and is a predicted model, not a curated record. The transcript has 3 exons.
UCGUUAGCAGCUUCAUUAGUUCUGAGGGCUCUGUGGAAAGCCAUUAGUGUGGCUCGCUCUGUGCCAUCCAUCAGAGAGGAGGGUGGUAAUUGACAGCCAAGAGAGGAGAAAACAAGAAAAUGACCCAACUCCCGCCCUCCUGCCGCCUCCCAGGAAGAACAAGGCUGAGACAGCUCCAUAGAAACCGUCAGCCAGGGGCUCCCCCGGAUACACUGACCUGUGGCAGGAUGCAGGUGCACUGCCCCACCUCAGAGAUGUCCUGUGACCUAUUCUGAUGCUUCCUCCUGUGACCUCUGACCUUUGGUGCCACUCAUUUAUGACUCUCUGGGUCUAUCCUGUGCACCUCCCUCACCCUGCUCUGUCUCCGAGGUGUGGCUCUAAGGUCCCUAGGUCCUGCAGGCCAGUCCACAAACCAUCUCUGCCACUCCUCCGGGGGAUCAUCUUCCUGAGUUUCUGUGCCAGGUUUGGACUAUUCAUGAAAAGCUCUGAAAACCGGUGCACCUGAGACCACAGCCCGAGGAUAUCCAGGCACACACCGUCACCCCCAUUUAUCCAAUGCCGGAGUUUGAAAUCCAGACAAACACUCUCCCACCUGAGCUACAUCGACAGUCGAGGAUUAAUUAUAUUUCUAUGAGAUGUUUUUGGAGGUGCCUUGAAGGCCCAUGCAGAAUGGAGCUCAAAGAGGAGAAGCGACCAACCCAAGAUCCCACAACACAGAGAAGGCAAUACUAGCUCGGGCUAGUGUAACCCAGCCUUGCAAAGCCAGGCCACCAAGAGGAAACCAGAUGCCAGCACAUCCCGCAGCCUUUGUCAGUGUGGGUCCUCUGGUGGUCAGCACAGAAAUGGGUGGUCUGGCUGGCCCAGAGCCAGAUCUCCAAUGGACAAUAUUCCUGGAUGGUAAAGUAUGCACGGCUCUCACCUUUAUCUUUUAAUCACACCCAGAGUCCCCUGAGAGGAGCUUCCCCACCCCACUCCUCCUUUAAUUACUCCUGGCUGUAAUGAAUGCCUGAGCCCCUGAGACCCAAGCUUCAUCCUGAGCCUGUCUCCAGUCCUCCCCUCUCUUCUCCUUCCCUCCCUUCUCUCCCCUCCCCUCUC